UCAUAGUUCUAUUUAUUGACAUUAGUAUAUGCUAGGAAUUCAGAGGUGACUAUGGAGUUGUCUCCUCUUUUAUGGACCUUACUUUCUGUUUGACAUAGUUGGGGAGCUGGGUGGAGGGAGGUUUUAGUCUGUUGCAAUUAGCUAGGAAAGGAAAUUAAGAAAGCAGUGAAGGGUGGGUGACAUUUUUAGCUGAGGACAGUCCUGUUCAGUUGGCUUUUAAUUGCAGGCUCGAUGAGUUUUCACUGGAGGGAAUUGAUCUUACAGAAGAUGGACUUAACUCAGGCCUCUUCAGAAUGGACAAAUGAACCUGGAGAAAGACAGUCAAAUCUGUGCAGACAUUGAAGUUCACGUGAACGUGCUGUAUCCCUGAGCCAAAGAUAGGACAAGUAGGCAGCACUUCUUGAGGACAGAGGGGUGGUUUUUAAGGUUCUCCAAGAAUGAAUCCCAGGGAACCGGGAUGGCCAGUUGUCAAACUGUGACUUUGCUCUUUGGACGGUGUGCCCACCAAAGGAGAGGAAAACAAGUCUAAACUUACUUUCCAGUUGAAAAUGGAAUGGAGAGUUAACGUUGGAAGCCGGGAGCGUCUGUCCUGUGAUGAAGCGGUCUCCGAGCCACUUCCACUGGGACGUCACGUCACUGUCUGGGCCCCUUGCACAGCCUGUGCACAGGGAGCAGAUUCCUCUGUUUCAGGGAAUACAGGCCUUUCUAGGAAAAGGACAGGAUGAACGUGGAGAGGUGGGGCCGGAGGGGGUCUGGAGCAUCUGCACAGCGCUGCUUCCCUGCAUUUCUGCAUCCGGUCCCAUCAGUGCACGAAGUCAGCCUUCCUCUUCCUUCCUGUGUCAUCAGGUCUCUGUUUUAUGGGAAAACCUUUUUUACGUGUCUUUUUUCACUUACAUGUUUCGUUCAGAUGCUUGUUGCUUUUCUCCCUGUGCUUCAGCGUUCCUAGGAGAGAAUUCAGCAGUGCAGCAUCCUCUCCGAGCUCUAUGAGUUGAUCGGCUUCCACUGCAAGUCCGUCUUCUUCAAGUGGGUGGCCCCCGUGCAGCGCGCGGCCCCCGGCAUCCCGGAGCCUGGCGGGAAGGCCUGCUACCGACUCCUUCUGCAGACGCUUCCUGGCUACAGUCUGUCACUGAUUCUGCAGGACUUCAACAAAGGUUUUGGAACUAAAACAUUGCUUCAGUCCGAUUAACCAUGCCUUGUUUGGGCCCUGCUCUCCUGUCUCAUCAGGGUGAAUUGUGAUUCGUGUAGAACAGGACACAGCAGACUUUUUUCUGUCAAGGGCUUGGGAGUCAAUAUUUCAGGAUCUGCAAACCUCCUGAUCU
This is a long non-coding RNA of Camelus dromedarius (Arabian camel), 1319 nucleotides long. RefSeq lists it as uncharacterized. The record is from RefSeq and is a predicted model, not a curated record. NCBI's taxonomy places the organism in Eukaryota, Metazoa, Chordata, Mammalia, Artiodactyla, Camelidae. The transcript has 3 exons.